CCCAGGUAUGGAGAUAUGGUACCUAGCACCAUUGCAGGCAAAAUUUUUGGGUCCAUCUGCUCACUUAGCGGUGUCUUGGUCAUUGCCUUGCCUGUGCCAGUCAUUGUAUCCAAC
This is a non-coding RNA of Mus musculus (house mouse), 114 nucleotides long. The record is from Rfam. Lineage: Eukaryota; Metazoa; Chordata; Mammalia; Rodentia; Muridae.